AUAAUUUUACUAGUUUAUUUUAUUUUAAAAGUGAAAUUACUAUUUAUUUUAUUGUGACUUGUUUAUAGUUUCUAAAAUUUUAUUGGUUUCAUUGAAAUUGAAAACAUAAGCAUUGAUUACUAUAAUUCUAGCUAUAGGUUGUGGGUAACCAUUACCACUCUAUUUAACAAACUUCUCAACUUAACCAAAAUUUACGAAUAGCAGCGAAAAGACUUUUUUUUUCAAAAUUAGGCUCGGUUGUGGUCUUUAUCUUUAGCUUGUAGAUUAUACUUGGUGCAAAAAGCCCAAUUCAGGUUGGAGGGGGGGGGCACACGCCCCUUCCACAAGUCAAUAAGCACACCACCAAUAAAUGAAAUUCUUGUAGCAAAAAAAUUUUUUAUGUUUUUUAUACUGUGUACUAGUUUCACUUAUUUUAUUAAAUAUAGAAAUAUUUAUUUAUAAUUAGAGAAUUAAAUAUUUUUGAAAUUAGGGUGUGUUAAACCAUCACCACCAUAUCCACCACCAGCUUUAAUAAACAUCAAUCAUUGACGGUCUGGAAUAAAAUUAUAGCAAUUUUUUGUAUAAAAAAAAUAACCGUUUGUUGAAAAAAAAAACUUUUUAUUGAAAGAAAUAUGCUUAUUUUUAGGGUAAAGGUGGUGGUUCGGCACCCCCUCUAGCCCCCAGGAAA
Molecule: long non-coding RNA, 667 nt
Organism: Hydra vulgaris (swiftwater hydra)
Lineage: Eukaryota; Metazoa; Cnidaria; Hydrozoa; Anthoathecata; Hydridae
Source: RefSeq, a predicted model, not a curated record